This 497-nucleotide ribosomal RNA is filed under the name uncultured bacterium. RNAcentral describes it as "partial 16S ribosomal RNA". It matches the Rfam family "Bacterial small subunit ribosomal RNA", at positions 28 to 507 of the family's 1533-position model. The record is from RNAcentral.
GAUGAACGCUGGCGGCGUGCCUAAUACAUGCAAGUCGAGCGAACGGACGAGAAGCUUGCUCCUCUGAUGUUAGCGGCGGACGGGUGAGUAACACGUGGAUAACCUACCUAUAAGACUGGGAUAACUUCGGGAAACCGGAGCUAAUACCGGAUAAUAUUUUGAACCGCAUGGUUCAAAAGUGAAAGACGGUCUUGCUGUCACUUAUAGAUGGAUCCGCGCUGCAUUAGCUAGUUGGUAAGGUAACGGCUUACCAAGGCAACGAUGCAUAGCCGACCUGAGAGGGUGAUCGGCCACACUGGAACUGAGACACGGUCCAGACUCCUACGGGAGGCAGCAGUAGGGAAUCUUCCGCAAUGGGCGAAAGCCUGACGGAGCAACGCCGCGUGAGUGAAGAAGGUCUUCGGAUCGUAAAACUCUGUUAUUAGGGAAGAACAUAUGUGUAAGUAACUGUGCACGUCUUGACGGUACCUAAUCAGAAAGCCACGGCUAACUACGUG